This 71-nucleotide transfer RNA is filed under the name Marmota monax (woodchuck). RNAcentral's name for it is "tRNA.Val". It matches the Rfam family "tRNA". Rfam says of the family: Transfer RNA (tRNA) molecules are approximately 80 nucleotides in length. Their secondary structure includes four short double-helical elements and three loops (D, anti-codon, and T loops). The record is from RNAcentral. Lineage: Eukaryota; Metazoa; Chordata; Mammalia; Rodentia; Sciuridae.
GGGGUUGUGGCUCAAUGGUAGAGCACUUGCCUCACAUGCAUGAGGCACUGGGUUCGAUCCUCAGCACCACA